AGCGAACGCUGGCGGCAGGCUUAACACAUGCAAGUCGAGCGGGCAUCCUUGUGGUGUCAGCGGCAGACGGGUGAGACACGCGUGGAACCGCGCCCUUCGGUUCGGCAUAACCUAGGGAAACCUGAGAAAAUACCGGAUACGUGCGAGCGCAGAAAGGUUUACCUGCGGAAGGAUCGGCGCGCGUCUGUUUCGCUAGUUGGUGACGUUAUGGUACACCAAGGCGACGCACAGUAGCUGGUCUGAGAGGAUGAACAGCCACACUGGGAGUGAGACACGGCCCAGUCUCCUGCGAGAGACAGGAGUGGGGAAUAUUGGACAGGGGGAGCGACCGAGAUAGAGCCGUGGCGCGGAGGUAGUGGCGGCCUGGGUGUUGUAAUGCUCUUUUCGCCGAAGCGAUAAUGACGGUACCGGGGGAAUAAGCCCCGGCUAACUUCGUG
RNAcentral lists this ribosomal RNA (437 nucleotides) under uncultured bacterium. Its description in RNAcentral is "partial 16S ribosomal RNA". It matches the Rfam family "Bacterial small subunit ribosomal RNA", at positions 30 to 507 of the family's 1533-position model. The record is from RNAcentral.